RNAcentral lists this long non-coding RNA (256 nucleotides) under Homo sapiens (human). RNAcentral's name for it is "HSALNT0287077". Lineage: Eukaryota; Metazoa; Chordata; Mammalia; Primates; Hominidae. The record is from RNAcentral.
CUAUGGACAGCCUCUCCUGCAUCCAGAUGUUGAACAGGGGUGGUUCAGUCUAGGUUGUGCUAAAUAAAUAGGGAGAGCCUGACCACCAUACUACAUAAAGCGGGGGUGCUCUGACCUCAGGCAGAAGAGACUUUUUAUGAGCACGUUGGACGUGUGAAUGGGCUGCCAACAGAUGAAGUAAAAAUACUUCCAUCACUCUCCCUACCACCUCCAAGAAGCAGAUGAAAAUACUUGCAGGCCAGGGCUGAAAUCUACA